UAUAUUUCUUAUCAUAACACACAUGUUGUAUGAUAAUGUUCAUAACUCAAGCAUAACUAUUUUCAGAAUUAUUCCCCCUUGAACUUGGAAUUUAUGUUAACAACUAUAACUUCUUGUCAUAAGAAGAAAUACAUGUAUAUUUAUAUCAUAAUUGAUUUUUCUUUAAUAGGUUUGUCUUCCUUACUGCAUCAAGUAUUUAAUUGGUUGAGCUUGCUGUCUGCUGUGACAGCCUUGUUACACUUUGAACUUUGUCCAGGAUAUAACUAUAAAAGGUGGUUGGCUGAUGAUGCAAAUAAUCGGUGAAAGAGCGCCAAUAUGAAGACUUUUACCAGGGACUGGAGUCUGGUUUAAGACAGCUUGGCAUGUUUAGUAUCAAGACUAAACAGUCGCAACAUAAACAAGAUCUCAUACCUGUUGAUAAUAUAUAAGGAGUAGACCUGAGCUGGUGGAGGAAAGGAACAAGGGAAGUAAUUAACAUACCAUACAUAUUUGGCACCGCCUUUGCAGAAACCAACGGUGAAGCACAUGGAGUGAAUGCAGUGAUGUAAAGUCAUAUAGACAAAUGCAAUUAUAAUAAUUGUAAAUGCUAUAAAUAUUGUUUGUAAAUUCUACUAAUAUUUUUAUGCCCCCGCCAUGUAAUGGCCGGGGCAUAUAGUGUUACCCUGUUCCGUCCUUCCGUCAUUCUUCUGUCAUUCCGUCAUCAUCAGUUUCCGUUCAUUAUCUUAAGAACGGUUGCACACAUUCAACUAAAAUUUGACAUUUGGAUAUGUCAUGAGAAAAUACAGGUCAAGUUCGAAUUUGGUCAUGGUUCGAUGAUUUUUGGUAGAGUUAUGCCCCUUUUACUUUGAAAAUAAUAUGAAAUUUUCAGUUUCCGUUCAUUAUCUCCCCAACUGUACAACACAUUCAACUCAAACUUGAUAUAUGGAUAUGUCAUGAGAAAAUACAGGUCAAGUUUAAAUUUGGUCAUGGUUCGAUGAUUUUUGGCAGAGUUAUGCCCCUUUCACUUUGAAAAUAAUAUGAAAUUUUCAGUUUCAGUUCAUUAUCUCCCCAAAGGUACAAUACAUUCAACUCAAACUUGACAUAUGGAUGCGUCAAAGGAAUGCGCAGGUCAAGUUCAAAUUUAGUCAUGGUUCAAUGAUUUUUGGCAGAGUUAUGCCCCUUUCACUUUAAAAAGUAAUAUGAAAUU
This is a long non-coding RNA of Ruditapes philippinarum (Manila clam), 1186 nucleotides long. RefSeq lists it as uncharacterized. NCBI's taxonomy places the organism in Eukaryota, Metazoa, Mollusca, Bivalvia, Venerida, Veneridae. The transcript is spliced from 4 exons. The record is from RefSeq and is a predicted model, not a curated record.